AUACUAACAAUGCACUAGAGGAACUGUGAUCACGAAGGCAGGCCUCUCGGUCUGGCUCCAGUCAUUGCACAUUCUGAUCUGGAGCCAUUCUGCGUGGAUCCCGACAGGGUACGCGGUGCAAAAUUUUUGAUAGUUGGGUAGACCUGCGUUCGCGCUCGUCCAC
Molecule: small nuclear RNA, 163 nt
Filed under: Nematostella vectensis (starlet sea anemone)
Lineage: Eukaryota; Metazoa; Cnidaria; Anthozoa; Actiniaria; Edwardsiidae
Description: U1 spliceosomal RNA
Rfam family: U1 spliceosomal RNA
About the family: U1 is a small nuclear RNA (snRNA) component of the spliceosome (involved in pre-mRNA splicing). Its 5' end forms complementary base pairs with the 5' splice junction, thus defining the 5' donor site of an intron.
Source: Rfam by way of RNAcentral